AUGGCUGGUCUUGUCCUGCCUGAUUCUGCCAGGGGCACCUGGCUCCUCUGCUGUGUGGCCCUCUGUCUUUCGGGGACAGGUUCGGCAGAUGUCGGAGUCACCCAGUCCCCAAGACAUCUAAUCAAAGGCCAAGGCGGGGAGGCCGUUCUCAAAUGCCGUCCCAUCUCUGGACACAGUGGCGUGAGCUGGUACCAGCAGGCUCGGGGGCAGGGCCCCCAGUUCCUCAUCCAGUAUGACGAAAUGUCCGAGAGGGACAGAGGAAACAUCCCCGAUCGCUUCUCAGCUCAACAGUUCCGUGACUACAGCUCCGAGCUGAACGUGAGCUCCCUGCAGCGGGCGGACUCGGCCCUGGACCUCUGUGCCAGCAGCUGA
Pteropus alecto (black flying fox) is the source of this 372-nucleotide non-coding RNA. Lineage: Eukaryota; Metazoa; Chordata; Mammalia; Chiroptera; Pteropodidae. The record is from the annotation of a RefSeq genome assembly.